Molecule: transfer RNA, 63 nt
Filed under: Thermophis zhaoermii
Lineage: Eukaryota; Metazoa; Chordata; Lepidosauria; Squamata; Dipsadidae
Description: tRNA-Pro
Source: RNAcentral
CAAAGAGUAGUUUAAGUGAAAAAUGCUGGUUUUGGGGGCCAGAGAUGGGAAGUCUCUCUUUGA